UUGUAUGUACUGCAGUGACAGAGAUGCUGUUUUCCCAGUUCGUAAAACUGCCACAAGGAGAGCUGACCUUUAUCUGGCUCUGAGGGAGGGAUCCUCAGAGGGAUCCUUUUGUAGUGAAAGGCAGAGUCCCCUCCACAUCUGAUAACCGGCUCGUGCUGCUGUGCAGGACUGGCUGAAGGCAGGCAUGGGAACGCACCAUUUUGGCUGAGGGGACAAGUGGGGCAGGGCAUACUCAGUGGUGGUGUGGGCUGGGGUCUGUCACUGCCCAUACAUGAGGGUUCUACUGACCUGGUGGGGUAACAAGCACAGUGUGGUAUUUUGAUGGCUGUUGUUGGCUGUGCCCUCGUAGGGAUGCCCUGACUGACACAUGGUUUGCUUCUGUGUGGAGCUGCUUCAGCAAGGGCUGCAGGAAGCGAGGAGGAAGGAGAGCAGCAAUUUUGAUUCUUCUGCAAAAGCAGCGUCCCGUGGACUCCGGCAUUAAUCAUCCACUCUCCAUGUCAGCGCGGAGCAGUGCUGCUGCAGCAAAGAGCUGGUUCCUGGAGAAGAGCUGUGUCCUUUCUCGGUGUGAUUCCCAUUGCUUUGGGAGUGGUGGCGGUGCCAGGAAGAUGUGUGCUGACCUGUGUGACACAGGUUGAAAGCGUGCACAGUUGUUCUGAAGGUGUAAUGAUUUCAAAUCAGGCGGUCAGAAUCUGGGAUGAUUUGGGAAGCAGGCCGUGCUCUGCGCAUGGUGUUCUAUGCUUCGGCUGCUGACGAAAAGAAGAGUGUCUCUGCGAGCACCUACUCAUUGUUUGUUGUGCUCAGUGAAGGAUUCAAAUGCUGCCUGAAACUUCCAGCAGCUUCUGGCUAGGGAAUCGUUCUGGGUCAUUAUCAUGUGAAAUCUGGAUUAUGAAANCUGUAAAAGC
This 902-nucleotide long non-coding RNA is filed under the name Pavo cristatus (Indian peafowl). RNAcentral's name for it is "lncRNA (ENSPSTG00000019039.1)". Lineage: Eukaryota; Metazoa; Chordata; Aves; Galliformes; Phasianidae. The record is from RNAcentral.